GAAGAAGACGGCUCUCAAAGCACAGCCGUUUGCUUGUUUCUUCUGAUAUUUCGUGGCUUAUUUCACUCGGUAGAAGUCUUUAUAGGACGAGAGGUGGUUCCUUCAAGUGGCUUUGGGGAGGUUCAUGUUGGACAUGAGGAAACGUUUCUUUUCAGAAAGAGUGAUAGGGCACUGCACAGGGAAGUAGGUGGUGGAGUCACCGUCCCUGGAGGUGUUCGAGAGCCGUGUAGACGUGGCACUGACAGACAUGGUUAGUGGGCAUGGUGGGGAUAGGCUGACAGCUGAUCUGGGUAAUCUGACAGGUCUUUUCCAACCUUGAUUCAAAGUCUGUGAAGGUCAAAUCUCGAUGUCUACAUAGUAUUCAUGCACAGCAGUGUGUGUGGUAUGAAGGCAGGAGCUGACUUGUCCUCUCUCACGUAACACGUUUCUCUGUGGUAGGAUCAUCACCUGGGCUGCAGAGCAGCUGUGAUAUGAGUAAGGACUUCAGCAGGCUCAGGCAUGGAGAAGAUGCAUCUAUGUGCUGCAAAGCUGCUUUUCAUACUCACUGCAAGUCUUGUUAAUGCCUGACCGACUUGUGGGAAUGCCUCCUUAGAGCAGUCAGAAUGCUUCCCACCGAUCUCAGAGGGUAUACACUUACACUUCCCUUUUUCUCACUGUAGCUGAAAUACUGUUUUGUUGAUAUAUUUUUUUUCUUCUACAAGAGCUGCUCUGAAAGUAAUGCCUCCUAUUUCAUUAUGUUGGCUCACGCUGUCAGGGGCAGAUGGUGGUAUGGCAGCAAAGGUUGAACCUUCCCACCAACAUUCCCUUAUAUGUUGUUGCCGUGAGACAGAUGGCAGCAGAGGGGCAGUCUGACGCAAUAACAUCUGACAUGGGAGUGCAGAUGAAGCAAAGGUGUGUCACUGAAUUCCUCCACUUGGAAAAAAAAGGCCCCCACUGACCUUCUCUGACCAUCACUGACACUUGAACAUUUCUGGAGACCAAACAGUGGGUGUGAGCUCAGCGAGGCAGUGGGUGGUGCAUUUCAGCACUGGUGACAGCAACAGUGGUCACCUCAAGUGGAGAUUAUGACAGAUGCAUUCUUGUUUAUUGCUGGUGAAAAUGCACAGCUAAUCGUAGUGCCUGUGUUGAAAAAUACUGGUUUUUAGCCAAGAAUUUUCUCUGUCAAAUAGUGCUAUUAUGCUCCUUGUAUCUGUUGUAGUUUCCAUGGAAAUAAACAGGAGAUACUAUUUUCAGAGUGUCCCACAUAAUAAGAGUGAUAAGAAGUAUGGUUAUCAUAGAGCCAGAUGUGGAAAGGCACUAUAUAGCACCAAUGUACAGUUCUGAAUUUGAUUUUUGUGCCAGUAUUGGCACUGUGUCCGUUAAACUGAUUUUCUCUUUUCUCGGCUGCUUUGAAAUGAGCUAUAUCAACCGUGAGACAGUACAAUGAGGGACAGGCACAAUGACCAAAGGCUUUAGCAAACAAGUAAAGCCACGGAUUUCCUUAAGCCAACAUCAGAGGAUGCUGUGAAGCUGCUGAAGCUCUGCAAAUAAGAAGGAAAAGAGACCUUUGGGUUCGACUCUUUUCUGCCCCCAGCUGUGGAGGACGGGAUCCUUUCAAGAUUCCAGGAUGAACCAGGAGACCUGAACCUCUAGCAGCAGGAGUGAAGGAAGUGUCCUUUGCAGUAGAGAUCUGAGGCUGAGAGAGGACAUGGGCUGUGGUAAGACUGCUUAGUUCAGCUGCACUAAGCAGCUCUUUACACCAUCCACACAGGGCUGUGAUACCUCACUUUCUUCUUGAAUUACAUACAGUGGAUUUACUUAAACAUUUUCAUGAUAACCAGUGUGCAUAAUGUCCACUUCAUGUUGUGGUAAAGCUCUGCUCUUUUAGUGGGAUUCUUGGACACAACUAUAUUAGAAAAAAAUGCUGAUGCCAAAAUAAAAGAAAUAUAAAAUGCA
Gallus gallus (chicken) is the source of this 1935-nucleotide long non-coding RNA. RefSeq annotates it as inhibitor of growth protein 3-like. Lineage: Eukaryota; Metazoa; Chordata; Aves; Galliformes; Phasianidae. The record is from RefSeq and is a predicted model, not a curated record. The transcript is spliced from 2 exons.